GGUUUUGGUUUAGUGGUACAGCGUCUGCUUUGCACACAGAAGGUCCUGGGUUCAAUACCCGGCAUCUCCA
Molecule: non-coding RNA, 70 nt
Organism: Podarcis lilfordi (Lilford's wall lizard)
Lineage: Eukaryota; Metazoa; Chordata; Lepidosauria; Squamata; Lacertidae
Source: the annotation of a GenBank genome assembly